This is a long non-coding RNA of Lemur catta (Ring-tailed lemur), 908 nucleotides long. RefSeq lists it as uncharacterized. The record is from RefSeq and is a predicted model, not a curated record. The transcript has 3 exons. Lineage: Eukaryota; Metazoa; Chordata; Mammalia; Primates; Lemuridae.
CGAGGGAGUGUCCGACGCGGGUGUGGGAAAGGAGGGUCCAUAGGCACACAAAGAAAAAGCUUCGCCAGACUCUCCGCGAACCUAAGCGCAAAAGGCGUCCUUAUCUCCGCGCCCACACGGCCAUAUGAGCUCCAGGCUGGGAGCCACUGGCCCUCUCUUCCAUUUUCUCAGCUUCUUCACCCGUCUCCAUCCGAUACGCUGUCUUUCCCCGUGUGUUUAGUAGCGGAGUUGCUUCUCCGAAUGGUCGAAAUCGGAAGCUGGUGGCCAUCAACCCUACAGUAAGUGCACCCAAACGGGCUGUUCCGGAAAACUAGGGAAAUAAAGGCCGCAAAGAAGGUGCAGUGCAGGGCAAGCGCGCGCAGCGAAAGGAAUCACCUGACGUCAGUGUGAUCACGUGUCGGCGAGGGCGUGGCCCCCUUGGGUGGCCGAGUGCGCAACCGCAGUUGCUGCAGUAGCUGCUGAACUGCGCAGGUCUGAGCUAAAACCCGGCUGACAACGCGAAGAGGAAAGUUCUGUAAUGCGGCUAUGCAUCUGUGUGGUUAUCAAUCAAUAAAUGCUUACUGUGCACCUGCUGCGGGCUGGAGGAAGAGGCCUUGUGUUCUUCACCAGCGCGUGGUCUCCUGAGGCUGAGGACUGCAGAGUGCCGACCUCCAAGCGUAGGGCAGCACGUGGUAAUUAAUGGAGCAGGGCUGGAUAACGCCAGGAGAACCCCAAUUGGAGACUACUUGUGUCUUUCGGAAGCUCAAAGCAGGAGAACCCAAAUCUUUUGAAAGGAUUUCAUCUGGGCCUCAUCUUUGGGUGAGAGUCUGAAGAGUUCAAGAAUACACCAUAGAGGCCGGGCGUGGUGGCUCAUGCCUGUAAUCCUAGCACUCUGGAAGGCGGAGGUGGGAAGAUCACUCGAGGUCAGG